Mustela erminea (ermine) is the source of this 681-nucleotide long non-coding RNA. RefSeq lists it as uncharacterized. The record is from RefSeq and is a predicted model, not a curated record. Lineage: Eukaryota; Metazoa; Chordata; Mammalia; Carnivora; Mustelidae. The transcript is spliced from 3 exons.
CAGACCAGCUGGCCCGGCUCAUCGAUGAGAGAUGCUAUUUGAGUUGUCAUUUCCGUUGCCAGGCCUCACAUCUGUAGCUUGGGAUGCACCCACUUGUCUCUGGGAUCUGCAUCUGCUCCUGGAGCUCAUUCAAAGAGAAUGGCUCUUGGAAUCAAGGUCCACUGUGGAGAAAGAUGGCCUUUCCUCUGUCCAGUGAAGAGAUUUCUCCUUGGGUGCCGCCUCUGGACAUCUUGGAACCUGGAAGAAUUUGCCAUGGAAGCAAUGACAAUCUUGUCAUAGAAGCAGUGGUGAUCAGAGCAAGAAAUGAACCAAUACAUCAUCUGGACUGACUCCUGUGUCAUAUACAUAGGAAACUGAGACCCAGAGAGGAAAAGAAGUUCCAGGCAUCAGUGUGUUGGGGCCACUGGCAUAAACAGUGAACGGCUUGGUGUAAAACCAGAGUCCAGUUGCUGAAGGCCUGCUUCCCUCCACUAAACACCCUAUAUCUCCUUAUAAAGUAAAGGGUAGAGGGGAAAAGGGGACAUUUUUGGAAUUAAGAGCAUUAUGCUCACCUAUAUAUUUACUAAUCAUGGAGGCCAGUUAAUGUUCUAUGUUUGGGAGAUUGGGACCCUGGGGGCCUAACUUGGAGUCUCAUCUCUACCCUGUUCUAGCUGGAUGACUUUGAGUGAAGAACCCAUCUCC